Molecule: long non-coding RNA, 955 nt
Organism: Neopelma chrysocephalum (saffron-crested tyrant-manakin)
Lineage: Eukaryota; Metazoa; Chordata; Aves; Passeriformes; Pipridae
Exons: 5
Source: RefSeq, a predicted model, not a curated record
UCAGGGCGGUCUGACAGGCGCGUCCCCGCCUCCUCACAGGCCGCCCCGCCGCCGCAGAGCGCCUUUGUAGCUUCUCUUUAAAGCAAAAUAUCGUAAAAUGAGCUCUCCUUCUGACAAACGCGGUGUUCUCGGGCCGUUUUGGCGUGAUUUGAGGGGGUACAUCGAGCUGCCGCCAUUUCGGCCGGGUGCCGCCCCUCACCUCAGCGCGGCUCUGCUGGGUGCUGCUGCUUGGAGGUGAGCCUGAAUCAGCCAGGACUGAUCACCCACAGCUCUUCUGCUGCUUAAUGCUGACCUUGGGAGAGAAGUAGUGCAGAUGUACGGAAAGUUCGCAUCUGUUUGUGAGCUUGGGUGUUUCCAGCAGGCAGAAAAAAGCAAUGUAGGCAGUUCCUUCUGUCCUUCCCGAAGAGGGCUCCAAUUCAGGAAGAACUGAACAGCCACAUUUUAAAAUGUUUCAGCCUGAGGAUGGUCUAGGAUGCUGUGUCCUUCUCCAGGGUCACACAAAGCAGGCAUGCCCUUUCCAAAAAACCUACGUCAUAUUCAUAGAUUUUGAAUCUGCAAGUUCCUGAAGCUUCAGCAGGAGUCAACAGGUGUCCAGAGCACUGGCAAAUGGUCUGCAGAGAGUCAACAGUUUGCAGGACCAGGCUGCUUCCCUCUGUGUAUGAGAACCCCUCCCGCUUUUCCUGCCUUCUGAGCUGUUCAUCACCUGACAUCGACUUCUCCUGUCAUUAUUCUUGCGCUCUCCAUGACAUUUCAUAGCUAAGAACAAACGCCUCCGGAAAGCUUUGGGAUUUGGGAAGAGCAGGAGGGUUCAGCAUAAGGGAGGAGCAUUUACCCUUCCUGGAGUAAACUGAAGAAGCCCUUUUGAAAGGAAUGGGCUGCAGAGAAGAGUGAAAAACACAGGGACAUACAUCUGUCCCCAAGGGCCUGAUCCUGCCCCUCACUGAAGGCUGUUAGC